RNAcentral lists this ribosomal RNA (555 nucleotides) under Bifidobacterium adolescentis. Its description in RNAcentral is "bacterial SSU rRNA". It matches the Rfam family "Bacterial small subunit ribosomal RNA", at positions 146 to 711 of the family's 1533-position model. Lineage: Bacteria; Bacillati; Actinomycetota; Actinomycetes; Bifidobacteriales; Bifidobacteriaceae. The record is from RNAcentral.
UCUCCUGGAAAACGGGUGGUAAUGCCGGAUGCUCCAGUUGGAUGCAUGUCCUUCUGGGAAAGAUUCAUCGGUAUGGGAUGGGGUCGCGUCCUAUCAGCUUGAUGGCGGGGUAACGGCCCACCAUGGCUUCGACGGGUAGCCGGCCUGAGAGGGCGACCGGCCACAUUGGGACUGAGAUACGGCCCAGACUCCUACGGGAGGCAGCAGUGGGGAAUAUUGCACAAUGGGCGCAAGCCUGAUGCAGCGACGCCGCGUGCGGGAUGACGGCCUUCGGGUUGUAAACCGCUUUUGACUGGGAGCAAGCCCUUCGGGGUGAGUGUACCUUUCGAAUAAGCACCGGCUAACUACGUGCCAGCAGCCGCGGUAAUACGUAGGGUGCAAGCGUUAUCCGGAAUUAUUGGGCGUAAAGGGCUCGUAGGCGGUUCGUCGCGUCCGGUGUGAAAGUCCAUCGCUUAACGGUGGAUCCGCGCCGGGUACGGGCGGGCUUGAGUGCGGUAGGGGAGACUGGAAUUCCCGGUGUAACGGUGGAAUGUGUAGAUAUCGGAAAGAACACCA